GAGUUCUCAUGAAAAGGAUGAGACCUCUUAGAGAAACUAGAAGACUCGUAAAGCAUUACUGAUUUCCAAUGCAUAAUCUUUUUCCAUUUCCAAAGCAUAAAUUACGUCUGAAUCUUGACUCAGAAACCUCCAAUGGUAUGUAAUUAACCUCAUAAAAUUCAUAGAAUCGAUCUGAAAUCAGUCCUGAGAUUUUACUUCCUUGGAAAACUAGAAGACUAAGGUGGGAAGACACUCCUGUGUAUUUUCCUCUAAUUCAGGAAGAAGGUGCUGUAAUUAGAGAGGUAACUCCAUUGAUCAUUGACGACUGUAGCAGCAGCGGAGCUCGCGAGUCCACGGCGGAGAUGUGAGGAUCCGACCUCAGCUGCAGCCACCAAAGCGGACCUCUGCUCUCAUAGCAUGGAAGGGGACCAAAGCAGAGGUGUCCACCUCGGUGCAGCUCACUGCUGCAUGGGUUUCUUCUCGCUCUGCUAUCCACCUGUGGCUGCCGUAUGAACAAGUGAUAUGGCAUCUGUCAGCUUCAUCAAAUGACGUGCAUGACGCUCACACAUGGAUUCGAAUACGAGACUUAUUAUUUUUACAAUAAAUAUAUUAAAUAAUAAAAAAAUCGAGUAAAUGAGUACAAUAUAAAAUAGCAUUAUAUAUAUAAAAAAAAGAUAAAUAAAAUAAAUAAAUAUUUUGAUAUUGCUCACCAUCAAUAUAACUAAAUUAAAUUUAAAUACCUAAACUAAUUAUAUUAUUUGACCCCUCAUAUUUCUCAACAUUUUUGGAAGGUAUAUUAAUGAUAAAUGUAGUUUCAACGUCAUUAUAGUAAUAAUGAAUUGAUGACUACCAACAAUACCGAUCAAACGCUGUUGUCACCGUUUCGUUGAUGUUGAGGUGGAACGAGAAUAGUUGCGGUUGACCAGUCCUGUCCAUGAAAUAUUCAUCUACAUAAUUUGACUGUAUUACUACUUAUCAUCAUCCUUACACUCAAAUAUGCGAACAUGCAUCAUAAUGAUAAACAUAUUGCAUGGUACAUCAUGAUGUGUGAUUGAUGUGCGGGUGUGGUGGAUGGAGAGCUACUUGGUGUCCUUCAUAUUAAUGGAGAACAGCGACUGCACGCGUAGCCUCCGACUCAGGCCACCGGGGAGGCAGAAGGCAGCAGUGUCAACGUCCCAUCGGAGACUUGCGGAGCUCGCCAUGUGGGGGCACGUCGGAGACUUCAUCAGCCACGAGGGGAGAUGGAAGUGGAGGCGUAGGGAGAGGAGGUGGCACAGUCGAUAAGGGUCCCCAGACGCGGAUCAGAACGCGACGUCAGGGCCAGCGGAAGUGGACGAAGGACGCCGAAGGGGGGCGCAGAGCCGCUGCUGCGCAGGCGGAAAGCACGGCGAGAAGAGGAAGGGAGAUGGGGAAGACAAGCCGCGUGGCUGCGGUACAUGGGGGAUGGCGGAAAUGGCGGCGAGGAUGGCGAGGAAGACGAAAGGAAGCGGGGGAGGACAAGUGGUUGAUGAUGGUGAUUGCAUUGCGUACG
RNAcentral lists this long non-coding RNA (1510 nucleotides) under Musa acuminata (dwarf banana). RNAcentral's name for it is "long non-coding RNA (MACU_LNC001165)". The record is from RNAcentral. Lineage: Eukaryota; Viridiplantae; Streptophyta; Magnoliopsida; Zingiberales; Musaceae.